RNAcentral lists this ribosomal RNA (1092 nucleotides) under Actinotignum timonense. Its description in RNAcentral is "bacterial LSU rRNA". It matches the Rfam family "Bacterial large subunit ribosomal RNA", at positions 1 to 1055 of the family's 2925-position model. Lineage: Bacteria; Bacillati; Actinomycetota; Actinomycetes; Actinomycetales; Actinomycetaceae. The record is from RNAcentral.
UUGGUGUUGUAGGGCGUUUGGUGGAUGCCUUGGUGCGUAUGGGCCGAAGAAGGACGUUGUAGCCUGCGAUAUGCCUCGGGGAAUUGGCUAGCGAGUGGUGAUCCGAGGGUGUCCGAAUGGGGGAACCUAGCCUGGGUUAUGCCGGGUUGCUGCCAGCUGAAUUGAUAGGUUGGUGGUGGGAACGUGGGGAAGUGAAACAUCUUAGUACCUGCUGGAAAAGAUAUUUUGUGAGUAGUGGCGAGCGAAAGCGAAGGAGCCUAAACCUUGUGUGUGUGAUACUUGUCGGGGGUUGCACAUGGGGUGUUGUGGGGUGUUGUCUUCUCGUUUCCGACAGGACGGGGCGUAGUGAUAAAUCAGGAGUAUAGGUGAAGGGUUUGGGAAGGCCUGCCGUAGACCGUGAUAGCCGGGUAGCUGAAAUGUUUCUGACUGCGUGAUGACAUGCCCGAGUAGCACGGGGCUCGUGGAAUCUCGUGUGAAUCUGCCAAGACCACUUGGUAAGGCUAAAUACCCGUCGUGACCGAUAGUGGAAUAGUACCGUGAGGGAAUGGUGAAAAGUACCCCGGGAGGGGAGUGAAAUAGUGCCUGAAACCAGGCGCCUACAAACUGUCAGAGCCACAUUUCAAUGGUGGUGAUGGCGUGCCUAUUGAAGAAUGAGCCUGCGAGUUAGGAUGUGUGGCGAGGUUAACCCGUGUGGGGUAGUCGUAGCGAAAGCGAGUCUGAAGAGGGCGUUUUUAGUUGCAUGUUCUAGACCCGAAGCGGGGUGAUCUACCCAUGGCCAGGGUGAGGCACGUGUAAGAGCGUGUGGAGGCCCGAACCCACCAGGGUUGAAAACCUGGGGGAUGAGUUGUGGGUAGGGGUGAAAGGCCAAUCAAACUCCGUGAUAGCUGGUUCUCCCCGAAAUGCAUUUAGGUGCAGCGUUGCGUGGUUCUUUGUGGGGGUAGAGCUACUGGUUGGCUGAUGGGCCUUAUCUGGUUACUGACGUCAGCCAAACUCCGAAUACCAUGAAGUUGAGCGUGGCAGUGAGACUGUGGGGGAUAAGCUUCAUAGUCGAGAGGGAAACAGCCCAGAUCGCCGGUUAAGGCCCCUAAGUGU